Pomacea canaliculata is the source of this 1792-nucleotide long non-coding RNA. RefSeq lists it as uncharacterized. The record is from RefSeq and is a predicted model, not a curated record. NCBI's taxonomy places the organism in Eukaryota, Metazoa, Mollusca, Gastropoda, Architaenioglossa, Ampullariidae. The transcript has 3 exons.
GCAGAAUUUGAGUCUAUAUGAGUGUAUAAAUGUGUAUAUUGUUUUCAUUGUUAAUCACUAAACCCAAAUGCAUGCAAAGUUAAGUAAAUGUCAUUUCAUUAGCAACAUUUACUUUUGCCCUGAAUUUUGUACUUAUCUGUUCCUAUCCUAGCAUGUUACCAUAUUUCUAUACUACGCAACAGGAAAUUGACAUUUAUUUGAUGCUUAAUAAUUAUUUUAAAGGAUUUCUCUUUUUGUAUGGUAUAAGUCCACGAUGCUCAUAAAUUACGUUAUUUAAACCACAGGGAUGUGUCUGUGUUAAAUUUAAAUGAAUGAGUAUGAGUAUAUAUAGGCAUUGGAAGGGUUUUUUUCUAAUGUUAGCAUUAGAUAUUGUCUAUCUGCUCAAAAACCACUGUAUUGGGUGGGCCCUUAUAAUAUUAAAUACACCUAAUAGAAAAUGCAUGAUCAAUAAAAAAACAAAAGAAAUUGUAAACAAGUUAUUUAGGUUGAUAUAGGCCAAUGUCCAAUUAAAAUGAAAUGCAGUAUUUUGAUUAAAGAAAUAAGAUUUAGAAAAGACAUUUAAUUUGUGAAAGUUUUUUAUAUAGUCUUUUCCUAUUUAUUUGCUAGGUUUUGAUGGUCAAAGAUUUAAAAGAUGUACCACAUUAUCGAGCUAUUCGAAGAUGGAAAGAAGUCUGCAGCCAUCAUGCCCGAUGAAUGGCUAAUCCCAGAGAGCACCAAUAGAUAUUUCUGGCCUAGCUCUAAAACAGACUCCACCUGGGUCUAAAACACAAAAAUGCCAGGCCCGAACUGGAAUAUUUUCACCUACCAGCAGAUAAUUAAAAGCACAUGAGCCCUUGCUGUGAAAGCAGUACAUCACCACUUUGUAUUCCCCCCACCAGCAAGACCUGUAUGAUCAGUUAUGUGCAAACUCCGUCUUCUAUUAGACGUGUUUGGUCUGUAGAUUCUCCAGAACAGCCAGGACCAUUUACUGCUAUUAACAGGGCCUCAAUCACAUAUUCUGAGUUGACACCAGCAGCAUCGCGGACCACCUGACUUAUCCCUGCGGACCACACUUUCAGAACCACUGCAUUAAGAGACCUACAUUUAUCAGCACUAAGAGACUUUGUUUUGGUUUUAGUCGCCACCAUCAAGCGGUCUAUUCCUGCAUCACCAUCAUCAGCACCAGCGACAUCUGCUAGCGACUGUAAGAUUCUACUUAAACUUCUAAUUAUUACAUUCAGAGAUUUAGAAAUGCUUAUUUGUUUUAUUUUUGCAUGUGAGAUAUAUAUAUAUAAUCACCUUGUACUUACAGCUAUUUUAAAUAUCGGCAUUAAGAUAAUCUAAAUUUUAUUUUUUAAGUACAAAUGCUUCCAAGUUAUUUUGAGAAAACUUUCAAAAAGAUACAAGAACUCCAGAAUGGUGUAUAGAUCCUGCAGCAGAAGGUGGACCAGCAAAGCAAUGUGGCUGCCAGCCAUACAACUCCAGAUACCUUCCUCUUUCCGCUGCAGGAAGUUGAUCAACUUAAACGAUACUUUGGCAGAGGAAGGUACCAGACAAAGAAUGGUAAGAUGUAGGAAACAUUUUGUCAGUAAGGGCAAUUCCAAGAGACACGAAAGAAUAACCAGGAGUAAAAAGUAACCUGUUGGUGUUUACUGCUUCCAUAUUUGUUAAACUUUGUCUUACCAUAUCAGCUCACCCAUUGUACAUGCCAUCUUCAGAAGAUUCACAGAUGGGAUUUUUAUAUAUGUAUAAGGAGACUGUUGCUGAUCAAAACAUUUUUUUGUUUCAGGUUUUGUAUCUGAGUUAUUUUGGU